GCGACCGGCGCACGGGUGAGUAACGCGUAUGCAAUCUACCUUAUACUGAGGGAUAGCCCGAAGAAAUUCGGAUUAAUACCUCAUAGUAUUAAAUCACUGCAUAGUGAUUUGAUUAAAGCUCCGGCGGUAUAAGAUGAGCAUGCGUCCCAUUAGCUAGAUGGUAAGGUAACGGCUUACCAUGGCAACGAUGGGUAGGGGGCCUGAGAGGGUGGUCCCCCACACUGGUACUGAGACACGGACCAGACUCC
Molecule: ribosomal RNA, 248 nt
Filed under: uncultured bacterium
Lineage: Bacteria
Description: partial 16S ribosomal RNA
Rfam family: Bacterial small subunit ribosomal RNA
Source: RNAcentral